UACGGAGGGUGCAAGCGUUGUCCGGAUUUAUUGGGUUUAAAGGGUGCGUAGGCGGCUAAUUAAGUCAGCGGUGAAAUUCCACAGCUCAACUGUGGAACUGCCAUUGAUACUGGUUGGCUUGAGUACAGAUGAGGUAGGCGGAAUUGACAGUGUAGCGGUGAAAUGCUUAGAUAUCGUCAGGAACGCCAAUGGUGAAGACAGGUGACUGGGCUAGAUCUGACACUGAGGCACGAAAGCGUGGGGAGCGAACGGG
RNAcentral lists this ribosomal RNA (253 nucleotides) under uncultured bacterium. RNAcentral's name for it is "partial 16S ribosomal RNA". It matches the Rfam family "Bacterial small subunit ribosomal RNA", at positions 524 to 776 of the family's 1533-position model. The record is from RNAcentral.